RNAcentral lists this ribosomal RNA (253 nucleotides) under uncultured bacterium. Its description in RNAcentral is "partial 16S ribosomal RNA". It matches the Rfam family "Bacterial small subunit ribosomal RNA", at positions 524 to 776 of the family's 1533-position model. The record is from RNAcentral.
UACGAAGGGGGCGAGCGUUGUUCGGAUUUACUGGGCGUAAAGGGCGCGCAGGCGGCUCAUUUUGUCAGGCGUGAAAGCCCCGGGCUUAACCUGGGAACUGCGUUUGAUACGGAUGGGCUAGAGUUCGGGAGAGGAGAGUGGAAUUCCCAGUGUAGAGGUGAAAUUCGUAGAUAUUGGGAAGAGCACCGGUGGCGAAGGCGGCUCUCUGGACCGAUACUGACGCUGAGGCGCGAAAGCGUGGGGAGCAAACAGG